This 521-nucleotide ribosomal RNA is filed under the name uncultured bacterium. RNAcentral describes it as "bacterial SSU rRNA". It matches the Rfam family "Bacterial small subunit ribosomal RNA", at positions 8 to 524 of the family's 1533-position model. The record is from RNAcentral.
AGAGUUUGAUCCUGGCUCAGAUUGAACGCUGGCGGAAUGCUUUACACAUGCAAGUCGAACGGCAGCACGGACUUCGGUCUGGUGGCGAGUGGCGAACGGGUGAGUAAUACAUCGGAACGUGCCCAGUCGUGGGGGAUAACGUAGCGAAAGCUACGCUAAUACCGCAUACGAUCUAAGGAUGAAAGCGGGGGAUCGCAAGACCUCGCGCGAUUGGAGCGGCCGAUGGCAGAUUAGGUAGUUGGUGGGGUAAAGGCUCACCAAGCCGACGAUCUGUAGCUGGUCUGAGAGGACGACCAGCCACACUGGGACUGAGACACGGCCCAGACUCCUACGGGAGGCAGCAGUGGGGAAUUUUGGACAAUGGGCGCAAGCCUGAUCCAGCCAUUCCGCGUGCAGGAUGAAGGCCCUCGGGUUGUAAACUGCUUUUGUACGGAACGAAAAGGCUCUGGUUAAUACCUGGGGCUCAUGACGGUACCGUAAGAAUAAGCACCGGCUAACUACGUGCCAGCAGCCGCGGUAAU